GAGCCCAGCCAGCUUGUGCAUCCCGCAGCUAGCUAGCGCACCAUCAAUCAUCACUCAUCAUCAGCAGGAGAUCAGGUCAAGAGACCGUCGAUGGCGAAGCAGCAGCAGGCUCUGCCCCUUUGCACGGUGCUCCUGGUGGCCUUGCUCGUCGUCUCGGCCAUGCACGCCGUCCCUGCAGAGGCAGGGAGAGCCUUAGCAGGGGGGUGGAUAGGCUACGACCCGCUGAACCCAGGGCGCACGCCUUCUGCGGGUCCAGGCCAACCGUACAUCCCGCGGCCAUGCGAAAAAAUCUACCGUUGCCCACCUGCAACUGCGACUGCCACUGCAACGCCAUGAGCCUUGACAGCCCGGACGGCAUGCAUGCAAGGGAUUAAUGUGUUCUCGGUUGUGGCAUAGAUCAAUAGAAUAAGAAAGAGUAAUACCAAGCUACUUGCAGUAAUUGGGUAACGAGGUAAAGUAUAAAAGCCCAGUUGAAUUGUCUGCAUGGCCUUUCAUGUGUGUACUCAUGCAUGUACGUGUGCUUAAAUAUAAUCCAGAGAUGAUCAGUUUGCCAUUGAGGCAAGUUGUCUAAUGCU
Molecule: long non-coding RNA, 575 nt
Organism: Panicum hallii
Lineage: Eukaryota; Viridiplantae; Streptophyta; Magnoliopsida; Poales; Poaceae
Exons: 2
Source: RefSeq, a predicted model, not a curated record